RNAcentral lists this ribosomal RNA (717 nucleotides) under Triticum aestivum (bread wheat). RNAcentral's name for it is "partial small subunit ribosomal RNA". The record is from RNAcentral. Lineage: Eukaryota; Viridiplantae; Streptophyta; Magnoliopsida; Poales; Poaceae.
AUGAAGAGAAAGAGAGAAUCAAUUCAGAACUUUUUCAAACCCGUUGGUUCAAGCUCUCGGCCAUCAGAACAUGAUGCUACUGCAGACAACGACAACGUUCAACCUAGCGAACAGAAUCACCCAAAUUGUACUGAUGGUGAUGCCCAAAUUGAUCAUGAUGUUUCCGUGCCAGAAGCUACGGAAGAAGAUACAAUUAUAACCACAAGUUAUGACCGAGAGCCCGGGCGACGUCUUCAAAUUUGGCAACUUCCUCCCGAUGAGCAUGAUGCUGCUAGGCGUUUUUAUAUAUCUAAAGGGGCUUAUCAACCAAUCUUAAAGCCAGAUGAGUAUGAAUUUACUGGGACAGGGGCUGGCCGUAGGCGAUUCCAAAGUGAUUGGUUCACGAAUCAUUGGUGGUUGGAGUAUUCACCUUUAAAAAAUUGUGCCUAUUGUUUGCCUUGUUUUCUCUUCUCAAAGAAGCCAAUUGGGAAGUGUGGUUCAAAUACAUUCACAGUGAGCGGAUUUGAUAAGUGGAAGAAAGUUAACAAUGGAAAAGAAUGUGCUUUCCUCAAGCAUAUGGGCACUACUCCCAGCUCGGCUCACAAUUUUGCAGUUCGGUGUUAUGAAAACUUGAGAAACAGACUUAAUCAUGUUGAUGAGGUGAUGAAAAAGCAAACUAAGAAGCGGGUUCUUGAUGCAAGACUAAGGCUAAAGACUUCCAUUGAUGCCAUGAGGUAA